Long non-coding RNA from Hyalella azteca, 813 nucleotides. RefSeq lists it as uncharacterized. The transcript has 2 exons. NCBI's taxonomy places the organism in Eukaryota, Metazoa, Arthropoda, Malacostraca, Amphipoda, Hyalellidae. The record is from RefSeq and is a predicted model, not a curated record.
AGGACGGCAACUCCUCCUGGCUGAACCCCAACGAGACCAUCACCACCACCGCUGUGCCAGCUGUUGUUGCUGAGGUCAGCGGCCAUGCCUGAGCCUGCUCCAACUUACAUAACUUGUACUAAAUUAUCGCUGCAGCAACACAAAUGUCUCCCCUCACUGCCUCCUACACGAGGGGCACGUCUCCCCUCACUGCCCCCUACACGAGGGGCACGUCUCCCCUCACUGUCCCCUACACGAGGGGCACGUCUCCCCUCACUGCCCCCUACACGAGGGGCACGUCUCCCCUCACUGCCCUGGACGUCUGCUGCCUUACCCUCAUAUCGACCCCGCGGUGUUUGUUCGUUGUUUUGGUCCCCGUUUGUGAUGCACAUUACAGCGCCUAUAUUUAUUGUAGGCUUAUAUUUACCGUAGGCUUUCCCUGGUGUUGAUAUGGUCUGAUUUUAACACAUUUUUAAUAGUAUAAAGCCGUUAAAAACCGUUAUUUAAAUCACUUUGAAAUCUGUAGCAUUUUUCCCAACCGAGAAGAUGACUUGCGUGUUGACCGUUGAGUCGGUCAUUUAAGCUAGUCUGUUUUGAAAUAGCAUUUGUGAAUAGCAAAAUAAAAUGUGAAGAAAAUUAUUUAUUUAGAACCAAGUUUUAUGGAGGAAGUCGUUUCUAUUUUUAACUAUCAGAUAUAUUAUUAUCGAUCAUUUAUGAAGAAUAUGGUGCCUUCUCCUUGAUCAUAUCUAGCAAUAUAUUUUUUAUGAGUAAGUCUGUAUGUACGUGCAUCAUAUCAGCAGAGAUAUAUAUUUCAAAUACAUUCCUAUGCCUGGU